Molecule: ribosomal RNA, 504 nt
Filed under: uncultured bacterium
Lineage: Bacteria
Description: partial 16S ribosomal RNA
Rfam family: Bacterial small subunit ribosomal RNA
Source: RNAcentral
GAUAAACGCUAGCGGCAGGCUUAACACAUGCAAGUCGCGGGGCAGCAUAGAUUGUAGCAAUACAAUUGGUGGCGACCGGCGCACGGGUGCGUAACGCGUAUGCAACCUACCCGUCACAGGGGGAUAAUCCGGAGCAAUCUGGUCUAAUACCCCAUAACAUAUGGAUCGGCAUCGGUUCAUGUUGAAAUUUUCGGAGGUGACGGAUGGGCAUGCGUAGCAUUAGCUUGUUGGUGAGGUAACGGCCCACCAAGGCGACGAUGCUUAGGGGGACUGAGAGGUUUUCCCACCACACUGGUACUGAGACACGGACCAGACUCCUACGGGAGGCAGCAGUGAGGAAUAUUGGUCAAUGGGCGCAAGCCUGAACCAGCCAUGCCGCGUGCAGGAUGACGGCUCUAUGAGUUGUAAACUGCUUUUGUACGAGGGUAAAGUGGGUUACGUGUAACCUUUUGAAAGUAUCGUACGAAUAAGGAUCGGCUAACUCCGUGCCAGCCGCCGCGGUAA